RNA transcript from Rattus rattus (black rat), 973 nucleotides. It is a transcript of the gene named transforming protein RhoA-like, with no coding region annotated. The record is from RefSeq and is a predicted model, not a curated record. Lineage: Eukaryota; Metazoa; Chordata; Mammalia; Rodentia; Muridae. The transcript has a single exon.
UUCAUAAGUGAUGGCUACCAUCAGGAAGAAACUGGUGAUUGUUGGUGAUGGAGCUUGUGGUAAGACGUGCUUGCUCAUAGCCUUCAGCAAGGACCAGUUCCCAGAGGUUUAUGUGCCCACAGUGUUUGAGAACUAUGUGGCAGAUAUUGGAGUGGAUGGAAAGCAGGUAGAGUUACCUUUAUGGGACACAACUGGACAGGAAGAUUAUGACUGCCUGAGGCCUCUCUCCUACCCAGACACUGAUAUUAUACUGAUGUGUUUUUCCCUUGACAGCCCUGAUAGUCCAUCCCAGAAAAAUGGACUCCAGAAGUCAAGCAUUUCUGUCCAAAUGUGCCCAUCCAUCAUCCUAGUUGGAAACAAGAAGGAUCUUCGGAAUGAUGAGCACACAAGGAGGGAGUUAGCCAAAAUGAAGCAGGAGCUGGUAAAACCUGAAGAAGGCAGAGAUGUGGCAAACAGGAUUGGCACUUUUGGGUACAUGGAGGGUUUAGCAAAGACCAAAGAUGGAGUGAGAGAGGUUUUUGAGAUGGCCACAAGAGCUGCUCUGCAAGCUAGAUGCGGGAAGAAAAAGUCUGGGUGCCUCAUCUCAUGAAGCCUUGUGAAGCACAGCCUCAUGCGGUUAAUUUGAAGUGCUGUUUAUUAAUCUUAGUGUACGAUUACUGGCCUUUUCAUUUAUCUAUAAUUUACCUAAGAUUACAAAUCAGAAGUCAUCUUGCUACCAGUAUUUAGAAGCCAACCAUGAUUAUUAAUGAUGUCCAGCCUGUCUGACCAGCCAGGGUCCUUCUGACACUGCUCUAACGCCCUCUCUGCACUCCACCUGACACCAGGCGCUCAUUCAAAGAAUUUCACAACUUCCUGCUUCUUUCUAGAAAGAGAAACAGUUGGUAACUUUUGUGAAUUAGGCUGCAACUACUUUAUAACUAACAGGUCCUGCUUAUUUUCUGUCAGCUACAAGGAACUCUGGUGAGUCACUACU